GACGAACGCUGGCGGCGUGCUUAACACAUGCAAGUCGAACGGAAAGGCCCUGCUUUUGUGGUGUGCUCGAGUGGCGAACGGGUGUGUAACACGUGUGUAACCUGCCCUUGACUUUGGGAUAACUUCAGGAAACUGGGGCUAAUACCGGAUAGGAGCUCCUGCUGCAUGGUGGGGGUUGGAAAGUUUCGGCGGUUGGGGAUGGACUCGCGGCUUAUCAGCUUGUUGGUGGGGUAGUGGCUUACCAAGGCUUUGACGGGUAGCGGGCCUGAGAGGGUGACCGGCCAAAUUGGGACUGAGAUACGGCCCAGACUCCUACGGGAGGCAGCAGUGGGGAAUAUUGCACAAUGGGCGGAAGCCUGAUGCAGCAACGCCGCGUGCGGGAUGACGGCCUUCGGGUUGUAAACCGCUUUCGCCUGUGACGAAGCGUGAGUGACGGUAAUGGGUAAAGAAGCACCGGCUAACUACGUG
Molecule: ribosomal RNA, 468 nt
Filed under: uncultured bacterium
Lineage: Bacteria
Description: partial 16S ribosomal RNA
Rfam family: Bacterial small subunit ribosomal RNA
Source: RNAcentral